GCCGAGACCCUCUCCCGCUCUCUGAGGGGCCGCUCCCCUCACGGUGCUGAGGCUUUCUCGCCGUCUCUGAGGGGGCUGCUCCCCUCACGGUGCUGCUCUCCCCCACUCCAAGGGCCAUUAUUCCCUCAUGGCAGGCUGCCGGCGAGGGAAAAGCAGCCCUGGGGAGAGAUGAGGUGUUCGGCCUGAGCAGGGAAUGCAUAGGGAAAAUGACCAAGAGUUUGUGUAAUCUGAUGCAAAUUGAUGCAUAUUUAUGCAAAUGUGUGUUCAGUAGAUUCUACUGAUGCUCCGUUUUCAAAUAUUGCUUUUGAACUCUUAUACCCUGAAAACAUGUUUAAAGGACCCAGAAUCCACCUUUUCCAUCUGAUCAGUUCUCUCCUGUGUAAUGGCAAUACAGAAACCCAGAGAUCAGCAUGGAUUACCACAGGUGAAAGAGGGCUAAUUUUCCUGCCUUCACUAGGUUCUUAUUUGCUCUGGCUCAAAAUCUCUGCAAGUUGUGCUGUUUCCUCACUCCUUGGGCUUUUAAACACGAUGUGGCUCUCCGUGACUUGUGGUUCUGGACGUGACUGUCUCCUGUGCACAGCUUGGAAAUGAAACUUGCUGCAUUUUUAAGCGUGGCAGUAAGAGGAGCCCGCUGAUAAAUUUGUGUACAUUUGUGCCCUGAAAUGGGCUUUGGGUGUGAGGUGACAGGGUUAAUCUAUCUAGCAGCAUGCAGGCAUGAAUGAACACUUUUUUUUGGUGCCAUGUAUCUUGGCUAAUUCCAUGAUUAUGCCCCUUUUCAUUUAAGACUGUUUCCAAGCAGCUUCCUACUAACCAACCUAUCUGUGUAUGGACUGCAAAGAUCACAGCAACAAGUAGCCAAAAACAUUUGAAAUAAGAAAAUGAAAUAAGAAAACUUCAUAAAA
Long non-coding RNA from Pipra filicauda (Wire-tailed manakin), 902 nucleotides. RefSeq lists it as uncharacterized. NCBI's taxonomy places the organism in Eukaryota, Metazoa, Chordata, Aves, Passeriformes, Pipridae. The transcript is spliced from 4 exons. The record is from RefSeq and is a predicted model, not a curated record.